GAAAUGCCUUUGGCUCUGUCUUGUCCAAUGGAUUAUAAGCUUUGGUUUACUUGCUAUAAAGAGACUGGAAGCUAUCUCAAUGCAUCGAUACGUUGUUUUUUUGUUAAGAGUACCCACUCCUGAAGACUAUAUACAUCUUCCCCUUACAGGUUAGGCCUGUUGCCGAGAACGUGGUAAGAAGUUGUAAAAAGAAAAGCAUGUACUGUUCAGAGUCAUCUAGUGUCAUUUGGUUAGUUGGUUAAACUGAAUUUACAUGCUCAACUCCCUUGUUUUAGAUUCUACUAUUUAUGUACUAUUUUUCUUUGAGGUUGAACGGUAUGUGUCGUUCUGACUUGUUCUGCUGUUCUCAUAUUCAUAUCCAAGCAAUGGAAGAGAAUGGUCACAAGAACAACCUCCCAAGUUAUGCUUCACAAAAGCCCCUGUGAAAACAACCUUCCUUUUCAAUGGUGUACAUCCUAGUGUAUA
This 465-nucleotide unclassified non-coding RNA is filed under the name Hevea brasiliensis (rubber tree). The record is from RNAcentral. Lineage: Eukaryota; Viridiplantae; Streptophyta; Magnoliopsida; Malpighiales; Euphorbiaceae.